This 468-nucleotide ribosomal RNA is filed under the name uncultured bacterium. RNAcentral describes it as "bacterial SSU rRNA". It matches the Rfam family "Bacterial small subunit ribosomal RNA", at positions 28 to 507 of the family's 1533-position model. The record is from RNAcentral.
GAUGAACGCUGGCGGCGUGCUUAACACAUGCAAGUCGAACGGAUUUAAUAGAAAGCUUGCUUUCGGUUAAAUUAGUGGCGGACGGGUGAGUAACGCGUGGAUAACCUGCCGUAUACAGGGGGAUAACACUUAGAAAUAGGUGCUAAUACCGCAUAAGCGCACAGUUUCGCAUGAGACAGUGUGAAAAACUCCGGUGGUAUACGAUGGAUCCGCGUCUGAUUAGGUAGUUGGUGGGGUAACGGCCCACCAAGCCGACGAUCAGUAGCCGGCCUGAGAGGGUGAACGGCCACAUUGGGACUGAGACACGGCCCAAACUCCUACGGGAGGCAGCAGUGGGGGAUAUUGGACAAUGGGGGCAACCCUGAUCCAGCGACGCCGCGUGAGGGAAGAAGGUUUUCGGAUUGUAAACCUCUGUCAACAGGGAAAAUGAUGAUGGUACCUGUGGAGGAAGCCACGGCUAACUACGUG